GAAAAUUGAAAAAGUACCAGCUUGCGAAUUCCAGAAAAUAAAGAAAUGAAAAUGACGACAGGAAACAACAGUAUAAAUACCAAUCCUGCAAGCCUGGAAGUGACUUCAUACACAUUCUCAAUCUCAACAGAUAGAGAAAUCUAGUGUCACCACCAUAAAAGAAAGAAUCAGAUUCAUAAUCUCCAAAUCAAGAACCAAUAAAACCAUACAUUCCGAUCAGAAAACGUUGCAUCAGCACAACCAUCACCACCGUUGCUGCCAUUGCCCAACCAUGAUUGCUGACCACCACCACCACCAUCCCUCCAAGUUCCUUCCCAAGCGGAUUGUCCUCGUCCGCCAUGGAGAGUCGGAGGGUAACAUUGACACCGCUGCCUACGUCACCACCCCUGACAACAAAAUCCCAUUAACCUCAUCGGGUCUAGCCCAGGCUCGUAUCGCUGGGACUCAUUUGCACAAUCUAAUAUCCAACCACGGCAACUGCACCACCAACUGGCGGGUCUACUUCUAUGUCUCUCCCUACCAGCGUACCCUAUCCACCCUCCGGGAGAUUGGACGGUCGUUUGAAAGGGAGAGGAUUAUUGGGGUUAGAGAGGAGUGUAGGAUUAGAGAGCAAGAUUUUGGGAAUUUUCAGAUCGAGGAGAGGAUGAAGGUGAUUAAAGAGACCAGAGAGAGGUUUGGGAGGUUCUUUUAUCGGUUCCCUGAAGGAGAAUCUGCUGCUGAUGUUUUCGAUCGCGUUUCAAGUAAGUUUUCUUCCUUGUUAUUGUCGUUUUGUUGAUUAAUUUGGUUAAUGUGUAUUCUGCUUUUUCUUUAUUUCUGUUGUUUAGUGAAUCACCCUUAAUAUCAUAAUGAAUUUCUUUGUAUUCUGCUCUUCUAAAUCAUCUAUUAUAUGCCAUUUGAUUACAGGGAAAAUCAUAGGAUAAGCAAAAAUAGAGAAUUCAGAACCUGAGUAUUAGCCUGAACUAUUUAUGUUUUAACCUGUUUCCUGUUAAUGUUGAAAACUGAAAAACAACAUAAUUUUGUGUUUGGGAAUGUGAUGAACUGAGCUUGAUUGUCUCUUUAAAGAUGCUAAAUCAAUCAGCGUAGUUGGUCUGAGCAGCUUGGGCUAUUUUUACAACCGGUUAUUUUUUGAUGACAAAGAUGGUAAUAGGAAAAUGUGUUGUGAAAUGCUAGUGUAAAGAAGUUGAAAAUGAUUAAGAAUAUGCAUCUCAUUCUGAACAUUUUGCGAGUCUAGCCAAAAAAGGCUUUCAUUUUAUGAUAUUUGGACAUAAAAAACAUACAUUUUACAGAUACCGUAUGCAAUUGAAUUUGUUCUCAUGCAUUGGUUCUGGGGCCUGAAUCUUUGAUAUUAGCUGAUGGUUUCUCUUGCUUGCUUUUCUAAUCUCAUCACAGCAUAUAGAUAAUAAAUUACAUGGUCAAAUUAAGGCAACUUUUAUUUUAUAGCCAAUUUAGCCUAAUAGUUUGAAUAAGGUGAAUAAAUAUUAUUAAUGAUAUUUCUUUUGUACUUUUUGUUUGUAAAAAAAUUUAGGAUUUUAGGAAAAAAUUUGAGGGAUAAACCAAACCCAUGAAUUCUUAGGGCUUCUAAGACCAAUAACCAAACUCAAUCAACCCCAAAUUCCAUUCAGAAGGAAAAUUUUCCUUGAUCAAACUAAGUCCUUUUUGAUUUCCAUUUAUUUUCUCCACACGCAUGAAAAGCAAAUCAUCAUUUAAUCCAAAAGCCUUCCUAUCUCCCUUCCACAGAAAACAAAACACAGCUCCCAAACUCAUCUCCUUAAAACAAAAAUUUAUAGUAUGGUUAUAGGCCACAAAAAUCAGAAUGGUGGCUGAUGUUGUGCUGGCUCUUUGGAAAAAUCUCAAAAUCAGCCAACUAGUCAGCAAUUUCCUAUUUCUUUUUUUAUUAACUCACCAAUUGAAUCAAGCUUUUUUUGCACUAGACCUCUUUCUUUGAAGCAGAUAUGAUGGCUCCUGCAUCCAACCAGGUGAUCACCAUGCCUCCACUGUUGGCUGACUGUUCUCAUGAUGCCAUGAUCAUCAUCAAUAGCUGUGACUAAUAAAUUUUCAAACACUGUCAUUUUGGCCCUUGCUGGAGAAGAUUAAUAGAUUUUUUUAUUUUUAAAGAAUUUUUCCUCCAAAAUGCUAAAAUUUUGUUGGAAAAAAUAAUAAAAAAAAAACCAAAUAUAAAUUUCAUUCACAUUUCAAGCUCUUGGACUAAAUAAACUAAGAAAUAAAAGUUGUAUGCUGAUUUGGCUAAAUAGUUAAUUUUGGAUUUAAUUGACUAUGGCCUGUAAUUCAGAGACCAAUUUGAUUUUUACCCCAAUGUUUAACAAUGAAGAGAAGUUUUCUAACUGAAUUAAUGAUUCGGGUUAGAUGCUUUCUUCUGGCAGGUUUUCUCGAAUCUCUCUGGAGGGAUAUAGAUAUGAACAGGCUUCACCAUGACCCUUCACAUGACCUAAAUCUCAUAAUUGUAUCGCAUGGAUUAACUUGUCGUGUAUUCCUCAUGAAGUGGUUCAAGUGGACAGUUGAACAAUUUGAGCACCUAAAUAAUCCUGGGAACUGUGAGAUUCGAGUUAUGGAGUUAGGAGAAGGUAGGGAAUACAGCUUAGCAAUUCAUCACACAGAUGAAGAAAUGCAAGAAUGGGGAAUGUCUCCUGAAAUGAUUGCUGACCAGAAGUGGCGAAUCCAUGCCCACAAGGGUGAUUGGAAUGACAACUGUUCCUGGUACUUCGAUGCAUUUUUUGAUCAUCUGAAGACAGAUCCGGAUAAAGAAAGUGAUGAUAAAGCAGAUGAUUCUUCAAGUACAUGUGAAUAGGCUCCCCAGAAAUUAGAUGGGAAAUUCUUUUGAUUCACCGAUUGACUUGUGUUAGUUGAUGCAUAAUUAACAAAUACAUGGAAAACAUAGUUCUGAUCAAUGCAAACAGAGGCUACAGUGCAAGAUUACUUGGUGGAUUGUAAUACUUUAUAAGAAACAUCUGCUUCUAAAUGUAAAUUUUUGACUGCUCUCUGCAAACUGUAAACACGAGCAAAUGGCUCUGGUGCUUGGUUUAUGUUAUUCUCUGAUUAAAUGCUGUCUGACUCUUGGUGGAAAUGCUCAUUUUAUCUGCAACAGGUAUAUCCUUCAGUUUAUUUUGCGGAUAAUGUGAAUUUGCUAGUACAUGUUUGUUUUUAAAAGAAAAAAAAAUUAUCAAUUAGAACUCGAAUUCUCAAAGUUUUC
RNAcentral lists this unclassified non-coding RNA (3208 nucleotides) under Hevea brasiliensis (rubber tree). The record is from RNAcentral. Lineage: Eukaryota; Viridiplantae; Streptophyta; Magnoliopsida; Malpighiales; Euphorbiaceae.